RNAcentral lists this ribosomal RNA (424 nucleotides) under uncultured prokaryote. Its description in RNAcentral is "bacterial SSU rRNA". It matches the Rfam family "Bacterial small subunit ribosomal RNA", at positions 355 to 796 of the family's 1533-position model. The record is from RNAcentral.
UGGGGAAUAUUGGACAAUGGGGGAAACCCUGAUCCAGCAAUGCCGCGUGAGUGAUGAAGGCCCUAGGGUUGUAAAGCUCUUUUACCCGGGAUGAUAAUGACAGUACCGGGAGAAUAAGCCCCGGCUAACUCCGUGCCAGCAGCCGCGGUAAUACGGAGGGGGCUAGCGUUGUUCGGAAUUACUGGGCGUAAAGCGCACGUAGGCGGCUUUGUAAGUUAGAGGUGAAAGCCCGGGGCUCAACCCCGGAACUGCCUUUAAGACUGCAUCGCUGGAAUCCGGGAGAGGUGAGCGGAAUUCCGAGUGUAGAGGUGAAAUUCGUAGAUAUUCGGAAGAACACCAGUGGCGAAGGCGGCUCACUGGACCGGUAUUGACGCUGAGGUGCGAAAGCGUGGGGAGCAAACAGGAUUAGAUACCCCCGUAGUCC